UACGUAGGGUGCAAGCGUUGUCCGGAAUUAUUGGGCGUAAAGAGCUCGUAGACGGUCUGUCGCGUCGGCUGUGAAAUCCCGAGGCUCAACCUCGGGUCUGCAGUCGAUACGGGCAAACUAGAGUAUUGCAGGGGAGACUGGAAUUCCUGGUGUAGCGGUGAAAUGCGCAGAUAUCAGGAGGAACACCGGUGGCGAAGGCGGGUCUCUGGGCAAUAACUGACGCUGAGGAGCGAAAGCGUGGGGAGCGAACAGG
RNAcentral lists this ribosomal RNA (253 nucleotides) under uncultured bacterium. RNAcentral describes it as "partial 16S ribosomal RNA". It matches the Rfam family "Bacterial small subunit ribosomal RNA", at positions 524 to 776 of the family's 1533-position model. The record is from RNAcentral.